Molecule: unclassified non-coding RNA, 234 nt
Filed under: Urocystis agropyri
Lineage: Eukaryota; Fungi; Basidiomycota; Ustilaginomycetes; Urocystidales; Urocystidaceae
Description: partial internal transcribed spacer region
Rfam family: Eukaryotic small subunit ribosomal RNA (bases 1-46)
Source: RNAcentral
AAGUCGUAACAAGGUUUCUGUAGGUGAACCUGCAGAAGGAUCAUUAAUGAGAAUAGAGGGCUGGAUUCUGUAUCCGCCCCCGACCUUUCGAUCCACACACACACCUGUGCACACACAACCAUACCCGCUUUGGCGUGGUAGUCACUUAUUAACACGGUUAUUGAGUGUAAAUACAAAUCCUCCAAAGCGGGGUGAAAGUUAAGUACAACUUUCGGCAAUGGAUCUCUUGGUUCU